AGCCCAGACCGCCAGCUAAGGUCCCUAAUUAUGUCUAAGUGGGAAAGGAGGUGGACAUUCAUAGACAACCAGGAGGUUGGCUUAGAAGCAGCCAUGCCUUGAAAGAGUGCGUAAUAGCUCACUGGUCGAGAGUGCCUGCGCCGAAGAUGUAACGGGGCUAAGACAUAAACCGAAGCUGCGGAAGAUACACUGUAUCUUGGUAGGAGAGCGUUCUGUAGGCCGUCGAAGGGAUGCCGCAAGGCCGUCCUGGAGGUAUCAGAAGCGAGAAUGCAGGAAUGAGUAGCGAGAAGGCGGGCGAGAAUCCCGCCGGCCGGAAGUCCAAGGUUUCCAGGGGAAGGCUUGUCCGCCCUGGGGAAGUCGGGACCUAAGCAUAAGCAAAAUUGUGACGGCGAAUGGAAAACAGGUUAAUAUUCCUGUACCGCUGUUAUCGCUUGAGAGACGGAGUGACGCAGGAAGGUAUGCGAGAAGGCUGACGGUUUAGCCUUUCUAAGGGCCCAGCGUGGGCGUGCAGGCAAAUCCGCACGCCUAAACGUGAGACCUGACGGGGAAGUGCAUUUGCAUAAGUCGCAGAUCCUACACUGCCAAGAAAAACUUCUAUCGAUGAGAACCAGCGCCCGUACUGUAAACCGACACAGGUGGACAGAGUGAGAAACUUAAGGCCGACAGGAUAACUCUAGCUAAGGAACUCUGCAAAAUAGCCCCGUAACUUCGGGAGAAGGGGUGCCUGACAUACCUGAAGGAGAGAAGCGCUCCCAGGGGAAACAGGCCGCAGUGAAGAGUCUCAAGCAACUGUUUACCAAAAACACAGGUCUAUGCUAAGCUGAAAGGCGACGUAUAUGGGCUGACACCUGCCCAGUGCCGGAAGGUUAAGAGGAGGAGUGAGAGCUCCGAUUUGAAGCCCCGGUGAACGGCGGCCGUAACUAUAACGGUCCUAAGGUAGCGAAAUUCCUUGUCGGGUAAGUUCCGACCUGCACGAAUGGUGAAAUGAUUUGAGAGCUGUCUUGGCUGGAGACCUGGUGAAGUUGUAAUGCCGGUGAAGAUACCGGCUACCUGCAGUAGGACGGAAAGACCCCGUGGAGCUUUACUGUAGCUUGGCAUUGGGUUCUGGCAAUGUGUGUAUAGGAUAGUUGGGAGACUGUGAUGCAAUGGCGUCAGCCAUUGCUGAGUCGCUGUUGGAAUACCAACCAUAUGCUGUCGGAAUUCUAAUCUGGCAACGGAGACAGUGCUAGGUGGGCAGUUUGACUGGGGCGGUCGCCUCCCAAAGAGUAACGGAGGCGUUCAAAGGUUCCCUCAGGCUGGAUGGAAAUCAGCCUAAGAGUGCAAACGCAUAAGGGAGCUUGACUGCAAGACUGACGGGUCGAGCAGGUACGAAAGUAGGAGUUAGUGAUCCGGCGGUUCCGCAUGGAAGGACCGUCGCUCAACGGAUAAAAGCUACCCCGGGGAUAACAGGCUGAUACUUCCCAAGAGUCCAUAUCGACGGAAGUGUUUGGCACCUCGAUGUCGGCUCGUCUCAUCCUGGGGCUGGAGAAGGUCCCAAGGGUUGGGCUGUUCGCCCAUUAAAGAGGCACGCGAGCUGGGUUCAGAACGUCGUGAGACAGUUCGGUCCCUAUCCACUGCAGGCGCCUGAAUAUUGAAAAGAUCUGACCUUAGUACGAGAGGACCGGGUUGGACAGACCUCUGAUGUAUCAGUUGUCACGCCAGUGGCAUGGCUGAGUAGUCACGUCUGGUACGGAUAACCGCUGAAAGCAUCUAAGCGGGAAGCCGGCUUUGAGAUGAAUAUUCGUAGUAUCCAUAGAGAACAUAUGGUCGAUAGGCUAGGGGUGCAAGUGCAGCAAUGCAUUUAGCUGACUAGUACUAAUAUUACGUCUGCUUUUAAGAU
RNAcentral lists this ribosomal RNA (1879 nucleotides) under human oral metagenome. RNAcentral's name for it is "bacterial LSU rRNA". It matches the Rfam family "Bacterial large subunit ribosomal RNA", at positions 1024 to 2925 of the family's 2925-position model. The record is from RNAcentral.